UCCGGUUUGGCACCGGCAGUCUCCCUAGAGUUCCCGGCUUUACCCGCUGGCAACUAGGGACAAGGGUUGCGCUCGUUGCGGGACUUAACCCAACAUCUCACGACACGAGCUGACGACAGCCAUGCAGCACCUGUGUUCCGAUUCCCUUUCGGGCACCCCCACCUCUCAGCAGGGUUCCGGACAUGUCAAGGGUAGGUAAGGUUGUUCGCGUUGCAUCGAAUUAAUCCACAUAAUCCACCGCUUGUGCGGGUCCCCGUCAAUUCCUUUGAGUUUUAGUCUUGCGACCGUACUUCCCAGGCGGGAUGCUUAAUGCGUUGGCUUCGGCACUGCGGGGGUCAACUCCCGCAACACCUAGCAUCCAUCGUUUACAGCGCGGACUAC
This 381-nucleotide unclassified non-coding RNA is filed under the name uncultured Pseudomonadota bacterium. RNAcentral describes it as "uncultured proteobacterium contains 16S-23S intergenic spacer region". Lineage: Bacteria; Pseudomonadati; Pseudomonadota. The record is from RNAcentral.